This 981-nucleotide ribosomal RNA is filed under the name Microbacterium oxydans. RNAcentral describes it as "bacterial SSU rRNA". It matches the Rfam family "Bacterial small subunit ribosomal RNA", at positions 56 to 1048 of the family's 1533-position model. Lineage: Bacteria; Bacillati; Actinomycetota; Actinomycetes; Micrococcales; Microbacteriaceae. The record is from RNAcentral.
UGCAAGUCGAACGGUGAACACGGAGCUUGCUCUGUGGGAUCAGUGGCGAACGGGUGAGUAACACGUGAGCAACCUGCCCCUGACUCUGGGAUAAGCGCUGGAAACGGCGUCUAAUACUGGAUAUGUGACGUGAUCGCAUGGUCUGCGUCUGGAAAGAAUUUCGGUUGGGGAUGGGCUCGCGGCCUAUCAGCUUGUUGGUGAGGUAAUGGCUCACCAAGGCGUCGACGGGUAGCCGGCCUGAGAGGGUGACCGGCCACACUGGGACUGAGACACGGCCCAGACUCCUACGGGAGGCAGCAGUGGGGAAUAUUGCACAAUGGGCGCAAGCCUGAUGCAGCAACGCCGCGUGAGGGAUGACGGCCUUCGGGUUGUAAACCUCUUUUAGCAGGGAAGAAGCGAAAGUGACGGUACCUGCAGAAAAAGCGCCGGCUAACUACGUGCCAGCAGCCGCGGUAAUACGUAGGGCGCAAGCGUUAUCCGGAAUUAUUGGGCGUAAAGAGCUCGUAGGCGGUUUGUCGCGUCUGCUGUGAAAUCCGGAGGCUCAACCUCCGGCCUGCAGUGGGUACGGGCAGACUAGAGUGCGGUAGGGGAGAUUGGAAUUCCUGGUGUAGCGGUGGAAUGCGCAGAUAUCAGGAGGAACACCGAUGGCGAAGGCAGAUCUCUGGGCCGUAACUGACGCUGAGGAGCGAAAGGGUGGGGAGCAAACAGGCUUAGAUACCCUGGUAGUCCACCCCGUAAACGUUGGGAACUAGUUGUGGGGUCCAUUCCACGGAUUCCGUGACGCAGCUAACGCAUUAAGUUCCCCGCCUGGGGAGUACGGCCGCAAGGCUAAAACUCAAAGGAAUUGACGGGGACCCGCACAAGCGGCGGAGCAUGCGGAUUAAUUCGAUGCAACGCGAAGAACCUUACCAAGGCUUGACAUAUACGAGAACGGGCCAGAAAUGGUCAACUCUUUGGACACUCGUAAACAGUGGUGCAUGG